RNAcentral lists this ribosomal RNA (568 nucleotides) under uncultured bacterium. Its description in RNAcentral is "bacterial SSU rRNA". It matches the Rfam family "Bacterial small subunit ribosomal RNA", at positions 250 to 828 of the family's 1533-position model. The record is from RNAcentral.
UGCUGGGGGAACGGCCUACCUAGGCGAAGAUCAGUAGCCGACUUAUGAAGGUGAUCGGCCACAUUGGAACUGAGACACGUCCCAAACUCCUACGGGAGGCAGCAGUGGGGAAUCUUGCACAAUGGGCGAAAGCCUGAUGCAGCAACGCCGCGUGCGGGACGAAGGCCUUCGGGUCGUAAACCGCUUUCAGCAGGGACGAGGCCCUCACGGUGACGGUACCUGCAGAAGAAGCCCCGGCUAACUACGUGCCAGCAGCCGCGGUAAUACGUAGGGGGCGAGCGUUAUCCGGAUUCAUUGGGCGUAAAGCGCGCGUAGGCGGCCUGUUAGGUCGGGGGUCAAAUACCGGGGCUCAACCCCGGUCCGCCCCCGAUACCGGCAGGCUUGAGUCUGGUAGGGGAAGGCGGAAUUCCCAGUGUAGCGGUGGAAUGCGCAGAUAUUGGGAAGAACACCGGCGGCGAAGGCGGCCUUCUGGGCCACGACUGACGCUGAGGCGCGAAAGCUAGGGGAGCGAACAGGAUUAGAUACCCUGGUAGUCCUAGCCGUAAACGAUGGACGGUAGGUGUUGGGG